ACAGCUCCUGGCAACACCGGAUCCUUCAUUCGAGGCCAGGGAUUGAACCUGUGUCCUCACAGAGACAAUGUUGGGUCCUUAACCCAUGGAGCCACAACGGGGAUUCCAACAUUUGUUUUUCAUUGAGAAAUGUUCCUUUUGCGCCUUUUCCUUAAGCUUCAUAAUUUCGUUUGGAAGAGUGAAGUAACGGGGAGGGAAGAGAAAGAUGGUGAGGGAAAGGCCUCUAGGGACUGCUGAUUGCUCUCUCCUCGGUGGAAUAUACUGCACUCAGGGAGACACCAGCUGUAGUUUGCCUUGCCAAUAAGUAUAACAAAUGAGCUUUGGUUUUUGCUAUUGUCUGGUACACUAAGUUUUUAGUUGUGACCAGAAAGGUUUUUCUUUUUUUAAUCAAAUAAAUCUAACUUUUUGGAAUUCUUUGUCUUCCUCGUUUGUGCCGCCUGGUCUGUGCGUGUCCUGCCACUGGUCACCAUCUCUGCAGCAAACAAAGUGAUGAUUCUUAUCACUUGACCCCAGCACAGGUCUUUCGAUGCUUGAAGGGAAAAAAAUUGAACGCCAGAGAGAGAAAGAGAGAGGGAGAGACAGGAAGAGCUGGAAAAGCCCCUGGUGAUGUUGGAUCUACUUUUUUAAUUCUCAAGAUCUUGUUUGCUUUCUUUCUUUCCUUUUCACUGGGUCGGGGGCCACUCCAUCCAGUCCACCAAAGUUCACUUACUUCCAUAAUCUAUUUCUUUCUCGACUUUGUGCAAUGCGGUGUACAUACCUCAUAUACACAAUUACUCAGGAUUGUCAUUGGCCAGAAUUAUUCAUAAGAAAAAUGAGGAAACCAAAGAUAGCUGGGAAGUGUGAGAAUUGGGAUUCAUCCUCUGCUUCCACAAACACUGAGCUGCCACCUCUGGUGUCACCAGGAGGUGACAAGAGCCUGGAGCCUGAAGGAGAUGAAGGGCUGGGACCUCUGACAUGAGUCACACCUGGGCAAAGGCCUUAAAAUUAACCUUUUGCUCUUCUCUGCAAAUUAAAUAUAUGUAUUAUAUACAUAUGCAAUUAAAUAUAUACAUAUAGAUAUACAUGUAAUGGAGAGAGAGAAAGAUUCUAUAUGUGUGUGUGACUGCGUGUGUGAAUUAUACUCUUCUUGUAAAAUUGGAAAUUUAUUCCUUUUUGAUGAACUGAAGCCUCAAACAUGUAAAUUUUACUAUAUUCUAGUACAAAAUAUAAAUGUAUUUAAAAAACUAAAUUUUAACCGAAGUUGAUAUAUUCAAAAAUGCAAUUAUAAGAUAAAAAUAAUAAAAGCACAUCUCAUUUUAUUGUGCUUUAGGUUACUGUCCUUCGAAGAUAUUGCAGAUUUUGCUUUUUUAUGGCCUCAUCCACAGCCUAUGGAAGUUCCCAGGUCAGGGAUUGAAUCCAAGCCACAGCUGCAGCAAGGCCAGAUCCUUUAAUGCACUGAGCCAGGCCAGGGAUCCAACCUACACCUCUGCACUGACCCAAGCUACUGAAGUCAGAUUAUUAACCCACUGUGCCACAGCCAGAAAUCCCGCUGUGGAGGAUUUUUGUUUUGGGUUUUUGUUUGUUUUUUUUGUUUUUUUUUUAGGGCCACACCCAAGGAAUAUGGAAGUUCCCAGGCUAGGGGUCGCAUCAGAGCUGCAGCUGCCAGCCUAUGCCACAGCCACAGCAAUGCCAGAUCUGAGGUGCAUCUUCAACCUAUGCCACAGCUCACAGCUACGCUAGAUCCUUAACCCACUGAGCGAGGCCAAGAAUUGAACCUGCAUCCUUAUGGAUACUAGUCGGCUUCGUUUCCCCUGAGCCGUGAGGGGAACUCCCUGUGGGGGGUUUAUAAUGAGGGUUUAUGGCAACUCUGUGUCCAGCAAGUCUGCUGGUACCAGUUGUCUAAUAAGGAAGCAUUUGCCCGCUUCUCAUCUUCGUGUCGCAUGUCGGCAAUUCUCAGGAUAUUUCAGACUUUAAAAGUAGUGUUAUAUUUGUGAUAGUGCUCUGCCAGCAGCCGUCUUUCAUGUUGCUAUUGUGAUUGUUGGGAGGCACCACUACUCAAGCUCCUAUAAGACGGUGAACUUAGUAAAUCUCGUGUGUGUGUUCCUACUGCUGCACCAACAGGCCCCGGUCCUCUCUCCCUCUCAUUCGGCCUCCCUCUCUCUCAUUCGGCCUCCCUCUUCCCUGAGACACAAAAACAUUGAAAUUAAUUGAAACUGGGCCAGUUAAUAACCCUACAGUGACCUCUAAGUGUUCAAGAGACGGGACGGGUCACAUGUCUAACUUUAAAUCAAAAGCUGGACGUGAUUAAGCUUAGUGAGGAAGGCAGGGCGAAGUUCCAGAUAGGCCGAGAGCUGGGUCUUUUGCAAUAGUUAAAUGGAGAGGAAAAGUUCUUGUAGAAAAUUAAAAGUGCUGCUCGGUGAACACAUGGAUAAUAAGAAAGACAACCGUCUCUACUGGUGACAACGAGAAGGUUUUAGUGGUCUAGAAAGAGAACCAAACCAGUCACAACAUUCCCUUAGGCUGAAGCCUCAUCCAGAGCGAGGUCCUACUUCUCUUCAAUCCUGUCAAGACUCAGAAAGGUGUGGAAGCUGAAGAAGAAAAAGGUUGAAUCUAGCAAAGGUUGGAGUGUGACGUUCAAGGAAAAAAGCCAUCGCCAAAGUACAAGGUGAAACAGCAAGUGCUGAUGUGUAUAAGCUGCCACGGGUUAUCCAGAAGGUCUAGCUCAGGUCAUUUCAGUAUUGAUAAAACAGCCUAUUUUUAGGUGUUGGAAAAGAUUUUGGUUAAAGUAUGAUUGAUUUACAAUGUUGUGCCAAUGUUUCGCUAUAUAGCACAGUGACUCAUUCUUUUGCUUGUUUUAUCUUCCAUCGAGUUCUACCCCAAGACACUGGAUAUAAAUUCCUGUGCCGUAAAGAGUAGGACCUCACUGCUUCUUCAUUCUAACCCCAGACUCCCUGUCCAUCCCACUGCCUCUCCCUCCCCCUUGGUAACUACAAGUCUGUCUGCUCUCUAUGUCUGAGUCUUUAUUUCUGUUUUAUAGACAGGUUCCUUUAUGCCAUAUUUUAUCAUGAUUUUUAUUUUUGCCAUUAUAGCUGGUUUACCUGUUCCAUCAGUUUUCUACUGCACAGCAAGGUGAUCCAGUCACACAUACAUGUAUACAUUCUUUUAUACCAUUAUAAUAAUUAUUAUACCAUAUUUUAGAUUCCUCAUAUAAAUGAUAUCAUGUAGUAUUUGUCUUUCUCUUUCUGUCUUUCUUCACUUAGAAUGAUAAUCUCUAGUUGCAUCCAGGUUGCUGUAAAUAGCAUUACUUCCUUCUUUUUUUAAUGGCUACACAGCCUUACAUUUGAAGAAGAGGCAUCUUGGACUUUCAUAGCCAAAGAGGAGAUGUGUCAGUGCCUGGCUUCAAACCUUCCGAGGACAGGCCGACUCUCUUGUUCGUGGCUCAUUCAGUCGGUGACUUUCAGUUGAAACUUUUGCUUGUUUACCAUUCUAAAAUUCUAGGGCUCUCAAGAAAUAUGUUAGGAGUUCCCAUCAUGGUUCAGUGGAAACAAAUCUGACUAGUAUCCAUGAGGAUGCAGGUUCGAUCCCUGGUCCUGCUCAGAGGCAUUGCUGUGAGCUGUGGUGUAGGUCACAGACGUGUCUCAGAUCCUGCAUGGCUGUGGCUGUGGCAUAGGCUGGCAGCUACAGCUCCCAUUUGACCCCUAGCCUGGGAACUUCCACACGCCAUGGGUGCAGACCUAAAAAGACAAAAUAAGGGAAAAAAGAAAUAUGUUAAAUUAACUCAGCCUGUGUUGUACAAAUGCAACAACAAAGCCUGGAUGAGAGCAUGUCUGUUUACAACCAUGCUUUACUAAAUGUUUAAGCCCACUGUGGAGACCUAUUACACAUAAAAAAUAAAGAAUUCCUUUCAAAAUGUCACUGCUCAUUGGCAAUGUACCUGGUCACCCAAGAGCUCCGAUGAAGAUGGACAAUGAGAUGAUGUUGUUUCCAUACCUGCUAACACAACAUCCAUUCUGCAGCCCAUGGAUUAAGGAGUAAUUUUGACUUUCAGGUCUUAUUAUUUAAGAAAUACAUUUCCAAAGACUGCAGCUGCCAGAGAUGGUGAUUCUUCUGUUGGACCUGAGCAGAGUAAAUGGAAAACAUUCUGGAAAGAAUUCAAAAGUCUAGAUGCCAUUUAAAAGCAUUCAUGAUGCAUGGGAAAGCUCCAAAUAUCCACGGUAACAGGAGUUAGGAAGACAUUGCUUCCAAUCUUCAUGGAUAGCUCUGAGGGCUCAAGACUUUAGUGGAGGAAGUAACUGCAGAUGUGGUGCAAACAGCAAGAACACUAGAAUUAGAAGUGGAACCUGAAGGUUGUACCUGAAUUGCUACAAUCACAUGAUAAAACUUGAACGGAUGAAGAAAAGUUCCCAGUGUGGCUCAGGGGGUUAGGAACCCAACUAACUAGUAUCCAUGAGGAUGCGGGUUCCAACUCUGGCCUCACUCAAGUGGGUUAAGGAUCCCAGUGUUGCCAGGAGCUACAAUGUAGGUCGUGGCUCGUAUCUGGCGUUGCAGUGGCUGUGGUGUAGGCUGGCAGAUGCAGCUGCAGUUCAACCCCUAGCCUGGGAAAUUCCAUUUGCUUCAGGCUUGGCC
This 4605-nucleotide long non-coding RNA is filed under the name Sus scrofa (pig). RNAcentral's name for it is "lncRNA (ENSSSCG00050039820.1)". Lineage: Eukaryota; Metazoa; Chordata; Mammalia; Artiodactyla; Suidae. The record is from RNAcentral.